Non-coding RNA from Pelobates cultripes (western spadefoot toad), 227 nucleotides. The record is from the annotation of a GenBank genome assembly. Lineage: Eukaryota; Metazoa; Chordata; Amphibia; Anura; Pelobatidae.
GGGGUGACUAGUGACAGAGUGAGAGAGGGGGGUGACACAGUGACAGAGUGAGGGAGGGGGGUGACUAGUGACAGAGUGAAGGAGGUGGUGACUGUCACUAGUCACCCCAUCCCUCCCUCUGUCACUAGUCACCCCCUUCCCUACCUCACUCUGUCACUAGUCACCCAAUUCCCUCCCUCACUCUGUCACUAGUCACACCCUCCCUCACUCUGUCACUAGUCACACCC